RNAcentral lists this ribosomal RNA (244 nucleotides) under uncultured bacterium. RNAcentral's name for it is "partial 16S ribosomal RNA". It matches the Rfam family "Bacterial small subunit ribosomal RNA", at positions 90 to 334 of the family's 1533-position model. The record is from RNAcentral.
CCGUAGUGGCGGACGGGUGAGUAACGCGUGGGUAACCUGCCUCAUACAGGGGGAUAACGAUUGGAAACGAUUGCUAAUACCGCAUAAGCGCACAGGACCGCAUGGUCCGGUGUGAAAAACUCCGGUGGUGUGAGAUGGACCCGCGUUUGAUUAGCUAGUUGGUGGGGUAACGGCCUACCAAGGCGACGAUCAAUAGCCGACCUGAGAGGGUGACCGGCCACAUUGGGACUGAGACACGGCCCAA